This is a long non-coding RNA of Phacochoerus africanus (Common warthog), 517 nucleotides long. RefSeq lists it as uncharacterized. The transcript is spliced from 3 exons. The record is from RefSeq and is a predicted model, not a curated record. Lineage: Eukaryota; Metazoa; Chordata; Mammalia; Artiodactyla; Suidae.
UUUUUGUAUUGGGGCCAUUACCACAGCCAUUAUGUGUGGAUAGCACAAGAGAAAAGCUUAAUCUCAAUAGGUCUUCCUUUUUUUUUUUUUUGCCCACUGCAUGCAAAAAUUCCUAGGCUGGGGAUGGAAUGUUUGCCACAGCUGCAACCUGGGCCACUGCAGUGACAACUCUGGAUCUUUAACCCACCACACCACCAGGGAACUCCUGAUCAAUGGUUCUUGAAGUGUGGUCCCUGGAUUAACAUCUGUGCAACUGGGAACUUAAAAGUGCAAAUUAUACCUAUGGAUUUUACGUAGACCCAGUGAAUAAGAAGCUCUGUAGCAAGACGAUCUUGAUAGGAAAAGCACUCAGGAAACAAAGAGGUCAGAUGUCCUCCUGGCUCACAUCCACUCCAGGCAGACUUGCCUGAGAAGGACGGCAGACAGAGUAACCUCUACUAUAGACAUCAGCUUGCUUCUUUUCACUCUUUGAGAUGAGGAGACUGAGGACUGGAGAGGAAAGGUGAUAACUUUAAGG